UUUGCGGAGAGUUUGAUCCUGGCUCAGGAUGAACGCUGGCGGCGUGCCUAAUACAUGCAAGUCGAACGGGGAGUACUUACUUCGGUUUUUACUCCUAGUGGCGAACGGGUGAGUAACGCGUUGGUGACCUGCCCCGAAGCGGGGGAUAACAGUUCGAAAGGACUGCUAAUACCCCAUGUGGUCGUACUGGUUAGAGGCUGUACGACUAAAGGAGUAAUCCACUUCGGGAGGGGCCUGCGUCCCAUCAGCUAGUUGGUAAGGUAACGGCCUACCAAGGCGAAGACGGGUAGGGGACCUGAGAGGGUGGCCCCCCACACUGGCACUGAAACACGGGCCAGACAUCUACGGAUGGCAGCAGUAGGGAAUAUUGCACAAUGGGCGAAAGCCUUGGCAGCAGUAGGGAAUAUUGCACAAUGGGCGAAAGCCUGAUGCAGCAACGCCGCGUGCGCGAAGAAGGCCUUCGGGUUGUAAAGCGCUUUUCUGGAGGAAGAGGAAGGACGGUACUCCAGGAAUAAGGAUCGGCUAACUACGUGCCAGCAGCCGCGGUAACACGUAGGAUCCGAGCGUUAUCCGAAUUUACUGGGCGUAAAGCGCGUGUAGGCGGUCGGGUAAGUUGGACGUGAAAGCUCCUGGCUCAACUAGGAGAGGUCGUUCAAAACUGCCUGGCUAGAGGGCGACAGAGGGAGGUGGAAUUCCCGGUGUAGUGGUGAAAUGCGUAGAUAUCGGGAGGAACACCAGUGGCGAAGGCGGCCUCCUGGGUCGCACCUGACGCUCAGACGCGAAAGCUAGGGGAGCAAACGGGAUUAGAUACCCCGGUAGUCCUAGCUGUAAACGAUGUGGACUUGGCGUUGGUGGGGUCAAAUCCAUCAGUGCCGUAGCUAACGCGAUAAGUCCACCGCCUGGGGACUACGGUCGCAAGGCUAAAACUCAAAGGAAUUGGCGGGGGCCCGCACAAGCAGCGGAGCGUGUGGUUUAAUUCGAUGCUACACGAAGAACCUUACCCGGGUUUGACAUCCAGGUGGUAGGGAACCGAAAGGCGACCGACCCUUCGGGGAGCCUGGACAGGUGCUGCAUGGCUGUCGUCAGCUCGUGUCGUGAGAUGUCCGGUUAAGUCCGGUAACGAGCGCAACCCUUGCUGUAUGUUAUACGUGUCAUACAGGACUGCCGGUUUAGUGCCGGAGGAAGGCGGGGAUGACGUCAAGUCAGCAUGGCCUUUAUAUCCGGGGCUACACACACGCUACAAUGGCCAGUACAACAGGUUGCAAAACCGCGAGGUGGAGCCAAUCCCCAAAACUGGUCUCAGUUCAGAUUGCAGGCUGCAACUCGCCUGCAUGAAGUCGGAGUUGCUAGUAACCGCGCGUCAGCUAUAGUGCGGUGAAUACGUUCUCGGGCCUUGCACACACCGCCCGUCACGUCAUGGAAGCUGACAACACCUGAAGCCGGUAUCCCAACCGCAAGGAGGGAGCUGUCGAAGGUGGGGUUGGUGACUGGGACGAAGUCGUAACAAGGUAGGUGUACCGGAAGGUGCGCCUGGAUCACCUCCUUU
RNAcentral lists this ribosomal RNA (1546 nucleotides) under Deltaproteobacteria bacterium. Its description in RNAcentral is "bacterial SSU rRNA". It matches the Rfam family "Bacterial small subunit ribosomal RNA". The record is from RNAcentral. Lineage: Bacteria; Pseudomonadati; Myxococcota; Myxococcia.